This 211-nucleotide ribosomal RNA is filed under the name uncultured bacterium. Its description in RNAcentral is "partial 16S ribosomal RNA". It matches the Rfam family "Bacterial small subunit ribosomal RNA", at positions 30 to 235 of the family's 1533-position model. The record is from RNAcentral.
AUUGAACGCUGGCGGCAUGCCUAACACAUGCAAGUCGAACGGUAACAGGCCCUUCGGGGUGCUGACGAGUGGCGGAUGGGUGAGUAAUACUUAGGAAUCUACCCUGUAGUGGGGGACGAACCCGGGGAAACGUACGGGCGUAAUAACCGCAUACGCUCUACGGAGGAAAGACGGGGACCGGCAAGGCCUCGCGCUAUUGGAUGAGCCUAAG